CAGUCAGAGGCGAUGAAGGACGUGCUAAUCUGCGAUAAGCGUCGGUAAGGUGAUAUGAACCGUUAUAACCGGCGAUUUCCGAAUGGGGAAACCCAGUGUGUUUCGACACACUAUCAUUAACUGAAUCCAUAGGUUAAUGAGGCGAACCGGGGGAACUGAAACAUCUAAGUACCCCGAGGAAAAGAAAUCAACCGAGAUUCCCCCAGUAGCGGCGAGCGAACGGGGAGCAGCCCAGAGCCUGAAUCAGUGUGUGUGUUAGUGGAAGCGUCUGGAAAGGCGCGCGAUACAGGGUGACAGCCCCGUACACAAAAAUGCACAUGCUGUGAGCUCGAUGAGUAGGGCGGGACACGUGGUAUCCUGUCUGAAUAUGGGGGGACCAUCCUCCAAGGCUAAAUACUCCUGACUGACCGAUAGUGAACCAGUACCGUGAGGGAAAGGCGAAAAGAACCCCGGCGAGGGGAGUGAAAAA
Molecule: ribosomal RNA, 469 nt
Filed under: Listeria monocytogenes
Lineage: Bacteria; Bacillati; Bacillota; Bacilli; Caryophanales; Listeriaceae
Description: partial 23S ribosomal RNA
Rfam family: Bacterial large subunit ribosomal RNA
Source: RNAcentral